RNAcentral lists this ribosomal RNA (434 nucleotides) under uncultured Lachnospiraceae bacterium. RNAcentral's name for it is "bacterial SSU rRNA". It matches the Rfam family "Bacterial small subunit ribosomal RNA", at positions 341 to 792 of the family's 1533-position model. Lineage: Bacteria; Bacillati; Bacillota; Clostridia; Lachnospirales; Lachnospiraceae. The record is from RNAcentral.
ACGGGAGGCAGCAGUGGGGGGUAUUGCACAAUGGGGGAAGCCCUGAUGCAGCGACGCCGCGUGAGUGAAGAAGUAUUUCGGUAUGUAAAGCUCUUUAAGCUGGAAAGAUAAUGACGGUACCAGCAGAAUAAGCCCCGGCUAACUACGUGCCAGCAGCCGCGGUAAUACGUAGGGGGCAAGCGUUAUCCGGAUUUACUGGGUGUAAAGGGAGCGUAGACGGCAAAGCAAGUCUGAAGUGAAAUCCCGGGGCUCAACCCCGGAACUGCUUUGGAAACUGUUUAGCUAGAGUGCAGGAGAGGUAAGCGGAAUUCCUAGUGUAGCGGUGAAAUGCGUAGAUAUUAGGAGGAACACCAGUGGCGAAGGCGGCUUACUGGACUGUAACUGACGUUGAGGCUCGAAAGCGUGGGGAGCAAACAGGAUUAGAUACCCUGGUA